CUACGGGAGGCAGCAGUAGGGAAUUUUCCACAAUGGGCGAAAGCCUGAUGGAGCAACGCCGCGUGAGGGAUGAAGCAUUUCGGUGUGUAAACCUCUUUGGAGCGGGAAGAACGCCGUUUGGGUGAACAAUCCAGACGGGUGACGGUACCGCUAGAACAAGACACGGCUAACUUCGUGCCAGCAGCCGCGGUAAU
RNAcentral lists this ribosomal RNA (194 nucleotides) under uncultured bacterium. RNAcentral's name for it is "partial 16S ribosomal RNA". It matches the Rfam family "Bacterial small subunit ribosomal RNA", at positions 339 to 524 of the family's 1533-position model. The record is from RNAcentral.